Molecule: ribosomal RNA, 450 nt
Filed under: uncultured Glomeromycotina
Lineage: Eukaryota; Fungi; Glomeromycota
Description: SSU rRNA
Rfam family: Eukaryotic small subunit ribosomal RNA
Source: RNAcentral
AGCAGCCGCGGUAAUUCCAGCUCCAAUAGCGUAUAUUAAAGUUGUUGCAGUUAAAAAGCUCGUAGUUGAAUUUCGGGAUCAAUUUAUUGGUCGUGCUAUUGUACGUACUGGUAUUAUUGAUUUCUACCUUCUGACGAACCAUGAUGUCAUUAAUUUGGUGUCUUGGGGAAUCAGGACUGUUACUUUGAAAAAAUUAGAGUGUUUAAGGCAGGCUCACGCUUGAAUACAUUAGCAUGGAAUAACGAAAUAGGACGUUUGAUUCUAUUUUGUUGGUUUCUAGGAUCGACGUAAUGAUUAAUAGGGAUAGUUGGGGGCAUUAGUAUUCAAUUGUCAGAGGUGAAAUUCUUGGAUUUAUUGAAGACUAACUACUGCGAAAGCAUUUGCCAAGGAUGUUUUCAUUAAUCAAGAACGAAAGUUAGGGGAUCGAAGACGAUCAGAUACCGUCGUAGU